GUGGUCCGGAUGGGGUUAUACUGGAAGCCGCUGGCUUGGCUGCAGGAGCUGAAGUCCGCGUAAGCCGAGGCCAGGCUGGACGUGUCCAUGCCGGCCAUGCACGACUCGUAGGCGGAGGAAUUGAGGAUAUGCUGUGAAGAGUUGCUGUGAAGUAUUGCUGGAUGCCGGUGUUGCCCUUCGACAUGGCGACAGGUCGCCUUGGAGAUAUCCGGUCCUUUGAACUGGGUUAGCUGGCUCUGAAUUCAGCCGGAUUUCCUUCCCAGAAUCUAGGCAGCGAAUGCGAAGUAGCCCGGGCGGAUCUACUCCGCACGGAUUCCGAGGGCGAGGCGCACAGAUAGGAUCGCUCGCAAAGGUGGAGAAGCUGGAGCGGCCGUGGGAAACGCGGAGCUUUGCCCACCGGCAAGCAAAACAGAAACGGUUGGAGAAAAUUAAAAAAAAAAAA
Crotalus tigris (Tiger rattlesnake) is the source of this 442-nucleotide long non-coding RNA. RefSeq lists it as uncharacterized. Lineage: Eukaryota; Metazoa; Chordata; Lepidosauria; Squamata; Viperidae. The record is from RefSeq and is a predicted model, not a curated record. The transcript is spliced from 3 exons.